Molecule: ribosomal RNA, 910 nt
Filed under: uncultured bacterium
Lineage: Bacteria
Description: bacterial SSU rRNA
Rfam family: Bacterial small subunit ribosomal RNA
Source: RNAcentral
ACGCUGGCGGCGUGCCUAAUACAUGCAAGUAGAACGCUGAAGAGAGGAGCUUGCUCUUCUUGAAUGAGUUGCGAACGGGUGAGUAACGCGUAGGUAACCUGCCUUGUAGCGGGGGAUAACUAUUGGAAACGAUAGCUAAUACCGCAUAACAAUGGGUGACACAUGUCAUUUAUUUGAAAGGGGCAAUUGCUCCACUACAAGAUGGACCUGCGUUGUAUUAGCUAGUAGGUGAGGUAACGGCUCACCUAGGCGACGAUACAUAGCCGACCUGAGAGGGUGAUCGGCCACACUGGGACUGAGACACGGCCCAGACUCCUACGGGAGGCAGCAGUAGGGAGUCUUCGGCAAUGGGGGCAACCCUGACCGAGCAACGCCGCGUGAGUGAAGAAGGUUUUCGGAUCGUAAAGCUCUGUUGUAAGUCAAGAACGAGUGUGAGAGUGGAAAGUUCACACUGUGACGGUAGCUUACCAGAAAGGGACGGCCAACUACGUGCCAGCAGCCGCGGUAAUACGUAGGUCCCGAGCGUUGUCCGGAUUUAUUGGGCGUAAAGCGAGCGCAGGCGGUUUGAUAAGUCUGAAGUUAAAGGCUGUGGCUCAACCAUAGUUCGCUUUGGAAACUGUCAAACUUGAGUGCAGAAGGGGAGAGUGGAAUUCCAUGUGUAGCGGUGGAAUGCGUAGAUAUAUGGAGGAACACCGGUGGCGAAAGCGGCUCUCUGGUCUGUAACUGACGCUGAGGCUCGAAAGCGUGGGGAGCGAACAGGAUUAGAUACCCUGGUAGUCCACGCCGUAAACGAUGAGUGCUAGGUGUUGGAUCCUUUCCGGGAUUCAGUGCCGCAGCUAACGCAUUAAGCACUCCGCCUGGGGAGUACGACCGCAAGGUUGAAACUCAAAGGAAUUGACGGGGGCCCGCA